ACUCUACAAGGUGUCAGAACAGCCUCAAUUCAUCAGGACAUGGACUCUACAAGGUGUCAGAACAGCCUCAAUUCAUCAGGACAUGGACUCUACAAGGUGUCAGAAUAGCCUCAAUUCAUCAGGACAUGGACUCUACAAGGUGUCAGAACAGCCUCAAUUCAUCAGGACAUGGACUCUACAAGGUGUCAGAACAGCCUCAAUUCAUCAGGACAUGGACUCUACAAGGUGUUGAAAGCGUUCCACAGGGAUGCUGGCUCAUGUUGACUCCAAUGCUCCCCACAUUUGUGUCAAGUUGGCUGAAUGUCUUUUGGGUGGU
Molecule: long non-coding RNA, 316 nt
Organism: Oncorhynchus tshawytscha (Chinook salmon)
Lineage: Eukaryota; Metazoa; Chordata; Actinopteri; Salmoniformes; Salmonidae
Source: Ensembl